This 253-nucleotide ribosomal RNA is filed under the name uncultured bacterium. RNAcentral describes it as "partial 16S ribosomal RNA". It matches the Rfam family "Bacterial small subunit ribosomal RNA", at positions 524 to 776 of the family's 1533-position model. The record is from RNAcentral.
UACAGAGGGUGCAAGCGUUAAUCGGAAUUACUGGGCGUAAAGCGCGCGUAGGUGGUUCGUUAAGUUGGAUGUGAAAUCCCCGGGCUCAACCUGGGAACUGCAUUCAAAACUGUCGAGCUAGAGUAUGGUAGAGGGUGGUGGAAUUUCCUGUGUAGCGGUGAAAUGCGUUGAUAUCCAGCGGAACUCCGGUGGCGAAGGCGAGGUGCUGGACCCUUUCUGACGCUGAGGCGCGAAAGCCAGGGGAGCAAACGGG